This 67-nucleotide microRNA precursor is filed under the name Bombyx mori (domestic silkworm). Its description in RNAcentral is "mir-2774 microRNA precursor family". It matches the Rfam family "mir-2774 microRNA precursor family". Lineage: Eukaryota; Metazoa; Arthropoda; Insecta; Lepidoptera; Bombycidae. The record is from Rfam by way of RNAcentral.
ACAACGUUCGGACCGUCGGUCUACCGAGCAAUAUCACCCGCUCGGUAUAAGAUCUUCCUUUCUUCGU